UACGGAGGGUGCAAGCGUUAUCCGGAUUCACUGGGUUUAAAGGGUGUGUAGGCGGGCUGUUAAGUCAGUGGUGAAAUCUCCGGGCUCAACCCGGAAACUGCCAUUGAUACUAUCAGUCUUGAAUUCUGUUGAUGUGGGCGGAAUAUGACAUGUAGCGGUGAAAUGCUUAGAUAUGUCAUAGAACACCGAUUGCGAAGGCAGCUCACAAAGCCAUUAUUGACGCUGAGGCACGAAAGCGUGGGGAUCAAACAGG
RNAcentral lists this ribosomal RNA (253 nucleotides) under uncultured bacterium. RNAcentral's name for it is "partial 16S ribosomal RNA". It matches the Rfam family "Bacterial small subunit ribosomal RNA", at positions 524 to 776 of the family's 1533-position model. The record is from RNAcentral.